Mauremys reevesii (Reeves's turtle) is the source of this 262-nucleotide long non-coding RNA. RefSeq lists it as uncharacterized. The record is from RefSeq and is a predicted model, not a curated record. The transcript is spliced from 3 exons. Lineage: Eukaryota; Metazoa; Chordata; Testudines; Geoemydidae.
CCGCAGCAAACUGAAGCCGCUGCUUGCCCUGGAGCUGGAAUCACGCCUCCUGCGGGCUCUUCUUUACACCAUCUUCACGAUGGGCACUGGGCAGGAUACCACCCACUUCCAGGCUCUGCACAACACCUAUUUACAGAGGCUGGACGCCAUGGUCGGGUGCCUGCUCACUGAGACCCCCACCCUAGCUAAGCUGCAGCACCUCUUGGAGUGAGCUGUUAGCCAGUGAGUGGCCCAUCGAACGGACACUUAAUUCACAAUGGAC